This 5710-nucleotide long non-coding RNA is filed under the name Gossypium barbadense (sea-island cotton). Its description in RNAcentral is "long non-coding RNA (GBAR_LNC008271)". Lineage: Eukaryota; Viridiplantae; Streptophyta; Magnoliopsida; Malvales; Malvaceae. The record is from RNAcentral.
AAUAAAGAAGUUUUUCUCUCAUGUUAUUAUACUAAUAACCAACGAUUUACUUAUCAUUUUCUAUACUUGAUUAAAAAAAUCUAUUAUUUUCAUUUUAUUAUAAAUUAUUAAAGGUGUUUAAAAAAUUAAAUCAUUGAAUAAAGGUACAUUGUUAGCAGGUCUUUUUCGACAUAUUUAGGCCUGCUACUCUAGCACGAAAUAGUAUGCCUUCUCUGGCACGCUUCUUAGGUUUUCUUUCUUUUAUUUUUUUGUUGAUUGUUUGCUUGAUGGCGGUGCGCUUUAAAAACUCUUGUGUCUCUCGUAUAGCAAAGUGGUAUCCAAGAUCGGGCCUUUUGCCUGCAAUCAAUUAAAACCGAAUUAGCGGGAUUAACACUUAAUGAAGAUGAAGAAGCAGUCUUACAAAUUCAAAUAGAGCCGAAUACAGCGGGGGUUUUCAGGUUAGUGGGUUGUUUCUUAACAGCUAGUAUUAUUCACUUCCCAGCAAUGAAAAGCACUAUGACAAACCUGUGGCACCCUGUCCGGGGUGUUCAAUUCGAGAUCUGGGAGAAAAAUUAUUUUUGAUUCAAUUUUAUCAUGUUAUGGAUAUGGAUAGGGUUUUGAAAGGGUUUCCAUGGACAUUUAAUAACCAUCUAUUAGUGUUACACAAAUUACAGUGGGGAGAGGAUCCAUUAAAAGUACCCUUAAUCCUGACCCCUUUUUAGGUACAAAUCCAUGAUGUGCCUAUUGGUCUCUUUUUUGAAAACUUGGCAGUGCAAUUGGGCCACUUUAUAGGGAAAUUUAUAGAAUAUGAUGGAUCGAAUCUAAGGAAAGAAAAUAGAAAUUAUAUGAGAAUAAGAGUUCAGAUUGAUGUGCGGCGUCUGUUAAAAAGGAAAAAUCAGAUUAUGUUUUAUGGAAAUUGCACAUAUGUGAGAUUUAAGUAUGAAAGACUGUCACUAUUCUAUUUCUACUGUGGUCGCUUAGGCCAUAAUGAUUCUUUUUGUGAAGCAAAUAUGGCGCUAGGUGUGGAAAUUGAUGAAAUGGACUGGGAUUUAUCAUUGUGAGCUCAAUUUCGAAGGGCUUUAGCAAUGAACAGUGUUUGGUUGUGAGAAAAAAGUGAAGGGAAAUUGAAUGGAAACCGAGAAGAUAGUUAUAUGACAAGAAAUACUCUGUGGGCAAUUGGAAACAAAAAACUAGGAUAUGAACAGCCUUUUGAUCCGGUUUUGGGAUUCAAUCUGGAAGACAAGUCGGCGUUCUUGAAUUACUUGAGGGAAAAGUUAUUAAUAGAUAAAGCUUUAAUGGAUAUAGAGCAUGACCUAGAAGACAAAGUCUUAAUUGGAGAGAAAAGGAAGAAGAGAGCUAGAGGGGAGAUGGAGAAGCCAAUAGAAAUGGGAGAGAUUAACACUUUGGCGGUAAGAAACAUGAGAUUAUUGGAGAUUAACCACUUAUCAUUGGCGGCUACCAAGAGGCAAGUCGACCGGGCGCAAUAAAAAUCCUAAGUUGGAAUGUCCGUGGAUUGGGGAGUCCAAGAACAGUUCGAAGACUUCGGCAUAUGUUGAAGAUAGAAAAUCCCCAAAUGGUCUUCUUUAUGGAGACGAAGUUAUGCAAAAGUUAGAUGGAAAAAGUUUGGUACAAUUGUGGUUAUGUCAAUGGGAUUAAAGUUGAUCCAGAGGGUACUAAAGGAGGAUUAUGUCUGGAAUGGAGAAAUGAGAUAUGUGUUACACUUCGAAACUAUUCAAAAAGACAUAUUGAUGUGAUGGUCGAUGACAACGAAGUAAGAGGUAAAUAGAGAUUCACUGGCUUCUAGGGUCUCCUUAUAUACAAGAUAAAGAUAUUUCCUAGGCAACGUUGAGGAAUUUAUACAUUGGUGAGGAAAAUCAUUGGUUUGUUUGUGGGGACUUUAAAGAAAUCAUGUAUGGUUUUGAAAAAAAAGGGAGGAUUACCUCGAGAUGAAAGGAGAAUGGAAAUAUUCCACAAUGUUCUGGUAGAUUGUCACUUAACGGAUGUGGGGUUCUCUGGAAAUUAGUUUACUUAGGAGAGGGGAAAUUUACCUGAGACAAAUAUUCGAUAACGGUUAGAUAGAGGAGUUGUAAAUGAAGAAUGGAUAGCCAUGUUUCCUGAGGUAACUAUUCUACACCUAAUCCACUUUUUCUUUGAUCACUGUCCCCUUUUAAUAAAUACAAGAAAGGAUGAAAAAUGGUCGAAUAAGAAAGUAUUUAAGUUUGAAGCCUGGUGGAUAAUGGAAGAGUCGUUUGGUGAAGAGGUUAAAAACAUUUGGGAGACAUCAUCAGGAAAUUUGUUGCAAAAAUUAGAUAAUUUAAAGGAAUGUUCGCAAAAAUAGGCUAGUCGAAUUUGAAUAGACAGACGCAGGCAAAAGGAAUUUCUUACAGCCAGAUUAUCAGAACUUAUAGAAGCCGAAAGAGAUGAUUUUAAUUUGGCUGAGAUGAUUGAUAUGAAGAUUCAAUUAAAUUUUGAAAUCGAAAAGGAUAAAUGCUAUUGGGAACAAAGAGCUCGUGUAAAUUGGUUGAAAUUUGGAGAUAGGAACACAACAUUUUUUUAUAACCAAGCGAUAUAGCGUCGAAGGAGAAACUUUAUUCACAAAUUGAAAAAUGAAGAAAGGAGAGAAAUGGAAAUCAUUCAGGAAAUGGAAGGUAUCGCGAGAUCCUAUUUUCAGAACUUAUUUAUGUCAAAAGCAAGAAGAAACAACAAUCAUUUGCUUGUUAGAUGCAUCUCCGAGGAGGAUAAUCAAAGACUUACGGCGCUAUACACAAUGGAAGAGAUUAAAGAAACAGUGUUUAAAAUAGGACCCACAAAAGCUCUAGGAGAAGAUGGAUUUUCGGCUUUAUUUUAUCAAAAGUGCUAGCACACUAUUGGGGAUGAUGUUAUCAAAUUUUGUUUACAAAUCCUUAAUGAAGGUAUAGAGGUUAAACAGAUUAACUUUACUCAUAUGGUACUCAUUUAAAAAAUUGCCAACCCCUUUAAUAUGAAGUAGUUUAGGCCUAUCCGCUUAUGCAACGUGAUUUAUAAAAUUUUGGCAAAAGUUAUUGAAAAUCGGCUUAGAGGAGUUAUUGAGAAAUGUAUUGAUUUGACUCAGAGCACUUUCGUACCAGGAAGAUUGAUCUCAGAUAAUGUAUUGCUGGCUUAUGAAAUCCUCCAUACACUAAAUUAGAAGAGGCUGAGGAAAAAAAGAUUCAUGGCACUGAAGUUAGACAUAAGUAAAGCUUAUGACAGAGUUGAAUGGAAUUUUAUAAAGGAAAUAAUGAUUCGAAUGGGUUUCGCUAUAAACUGGAUUGAAAUUAUUAUGAAAUGCUUAACCUCUGUUUCCUAUUCAGUUGUGGUUAAUGGAUACACAAGAGAAAAUUUCCAACCAACAAGGGGACUUCGUCAAGGAGAUCAUUGAGUCUGUUUUUAUUUUUCAUAUGCAAAGAAGGUUUAUCCUGCUUAAUGUGACGUGCAGCUAGAGAAGGACUAUUGAAAAGAGUAAAAGCCAGCAGAAGUGGCCCACGGGUAUCGCAUUUGCUAUUUGCAAAUGGUUGUAUCUUAUUUAGUGAGGCGACUAGUAAAAGAGCUACUUUAUUGAAGGGAAUUCUAAGGGAAUAUAGAAUCUGUUUGGGUCAAUGCGUUAACUUUAAGAAAUCAACUAUCUUUUUUAGCAAAAACACAUCAGCAGAAGAUAGACGAGCAGUUGCCAACAUUUUAGGGGUACGAAGCUCAAACGAUCCAUAGCGUUAUCUUGGAUUGCCUAACAUGGUUGGAAGAAAGAAAAGAAAGUCGUUUCAGAAUUUAAAAUAUCGGCUUAAGAAGCGUAUUGAUAAUUAGAGCACUAGACACUUAUCUUAAUGCGAAAAUGAAGUAUUCAUUAAGGCCAAUUUACAAACCAUUCCAACCUAUACAAUGACAUGUUUCUAAUUACUUAAAUCGUUAUGUGCUGAGUUAGAGAGCAUUAUUGCUAAGUUUUGGCGGCAGAAGGGACAAGGCAAAAGGGGAAUACACUGGUGUGCGUGGAGAAACCUUUGUAUUUUAAAGGAAAAAGGGGGUCUGGGUUCUGAAAUAUUAGCCAAUUUAACAUCGCAUUAUUAGCUAAACAAGACUGGCACCUUAUUAAUCAUCCGGAUUCCUUAUUAGUGAGAGUUCUUAAAGCUAAAUAUUCCCGCAUUCAGAUUUUCUUAAUGCCGAAUUAGGAAACUUACCUUCACUUACCUGGAAGAGUAUCUGGGCUGCAAAGGGCUUGUUACAGAAUAGGCUGUACUGGAGAGUUGGAAAGGGAACUAGAAUAUUUGUAUGGGAUGAUCGAUGGAUCCCAGGAAAAGAUACAGAUGAAUGGAGCAACAGAAACGACAAUAAAGGAGUAAAGUUAGUCUCGGACUUAAUUGAAGUCACAAAUAGAACUUGGAAGGCAGAUUUAAUUAAUAGUACCUUUCAAGCAGAUAUAGCUUAAAAAAUUUUGCAGAUCCCUCUUGCGGAAACACAUCAUGACGAUUUUCAAGUGUGGAAAGGAGAAACAUCUGGCGAAUCUUCAGUGAGAAGUGCCUACAAACUAUUACUAGACUCUAGCUCGAAUCCUAAUAAUUUUUUAAUACAGAUCGAUCUAAAAGAUUUCUACAAAAAGCUCUAGAAUCUACAGCUACCUUCAAAAAUUACAAUUACAAUAUGGAGAAUAUCCUAGAAUUAUAUCCCUACUCUAGUCAAUCUAAAGUAUAAACGAGUGACUAAUAAUGCAGUAUGCCCUCGAUGCGGAAAUGGAGAAGAAGACAACACUCAUGUUUUUCGGCAAUGUCCUAUAACAUCAGAGGUAUGGAAAAUGUUAGACCUUUCUUGGGUUAUUAACAGUACGAUUCGUAGUUUCUGAGAUUGGAUUACCUGGGUCUUCAAGAGGAGUAUUUCUGAACAGUGUCGAAUGUUCUGUUGUGGAUUGUGGUUCAUCUAGAGCUCGAGGAAUGAACUCAUUCAUGAAAGGAAGUCAGAGACAGGGAGAGAGUUAUCACAAAAAGCUGAAAGAUACAUGGCCGAACUUGAAGGUUUGAUAGAAAGAAUGAGUACCUUGAAUACGGAUAGAAACCAUAGCUAAACGAGAGGCUAAUGCUAGGGUGACAAUUCAAUUUGACGCAGCCUUUGGCAAAAGAAAUUUCAAAUCGGUAUCGAGUCUGGUGGUUUGGGGCCAGUCAGGGAAAUUCCUAACAACGAAGACUGUAUCGAAUACGAACAUUUCAUCUCCAUUUGCAGUAGAAGCUUAUGCAGGACUACAGGCUCUAAAGCUAAGAAUCUCAAUGGAUCUCCUCUCAAUAAAGAUAAUGGAGGACUCUCGUACAGUUUUCAAGAAAUGCCAAUCAAUGAAACUAGAUAAAUCAAUUAUAAAGGCGAUCAUCAGUGAUAUUCAAAGUAAGAAGAUUUGUUUUCAAGAAAUCAGUUUUUAGUUUAUUAACAGAAUAGAAAAGUUUAUGCCCACAAAAUUACAGCAGAAUCUUUAAAGAAAGGAAAGGAAAUACACCUGAUGAGAGUGACUUCAGAUCUUAACCAUUCAAAUCCGGAGGGACGCUAGAGAAAGAACCCAGAUUAAGGCUUAUUUUGUGAAGGAAGAAAAAAAUCGGAUAACAGGCAAAGUAAGAUAUUGAAAAGGCUAUCGACUGAACAGAUGGGACAAGGGAUGUAAAAAGACGAUGAAAGGAAGCGUCCAACUGUUCUUGAAAUCGACUAGACAUAAUUACAUUAGGUUUCCUUUUCCGUAGCAUUAAAU